UCGGGAAUAUUGCGCAAUGGAGGAAACUCUGACGCAGUGACGCCGCGUGCAGGAAGAAGGUUUUCGGAUUGUAAACUGCUUUAGACAGGGAAGAUACAAGACAGUACCUGUAGAAUAAGCUCCGGCUAACUACGUGCCAGCAGCCGCGGUAAUACGUAGGGAGCAAGCGUUAUCCGGAUUUAUUGGGUGUAAAGGGUGCGUAGACGGGAAAUUAAGUUAGUUGUGAAAUCCCUCGGCUUAACUGAGGAACUGCAACUAAAACUGGUUUUCUUGAGUGCUGGAGAGGAAAGUGGAAUUCCUAGUGUAGCGGUGAAAUGCGUAGAUAUUAGGAGGAACACCAGUGGCGAAGGCGACUUUCUGGACAGUAACUGACGUUGAGGCACGAAAGUGUGGGGAGCAAACA
RNAcentral lists this ribosomal RNA (403 nucleotides) under uncultured bacterium. RNAcentral describes it as "bacterial SSU rRNA". It matches the Rfam family "Bacterial small subunit ribosomal RNA", at positions 355 to 774 of the family's 1533-position model. The record is from RNAcentral.